RNAcentral lists this ribosomal RNA (301 nucleotides) under uncultured bacterium. RNAcentral's name for it is "partial 16S ribosomal RNA". It matches the Rfam family "Bacterial small subunit ribosomal RNA", at positions 509 to 807 of the family's 1533-position model. The record is from RNAcentral.
CAGUAGCCGCGGUAAUACGAAGGGUGCAAGCGUUAAUCGGAAUUACUGGGCGUAAAGCGUGCGUAGGUGGUUUGUUAAGUCUGCUGUGAAAUCCCCGGGCUCAACCUGGGAAUGGCAGUGGAUACUGGCUCGCUAGAGUGUGUCAGAGGAUGGUGGAAUUCCCGGUGUAGCGGUGAAAUGCGUAGAGAUCGGGAGGAACAUCAGUGGCGAAGGCGGCCAUCUGGGACAACACUGACGCUGAGGCACGAAAGCGUGGGGAGCAAACAGGAUUAGAUACCCCCGUAGUCCCUGUCUCUUAUAC